RNAcentral lists this ribosomal RNA (468 nucleotides) under uncultured bacterium. RNAcentral's name for it is "partial 16S ribosomal RNA". It matches the Rfam family "Bacterial small subunit ribosomal RNA", at positions 28 to 507 of the family's 1533-position model. The record is from RNAcentral.
GACGAACGCUGGCGGCGUGCUUAACACAUGCAAGUCGAACGGAAAGGCCCUGCUUUUGUGGGGUGCUCGAGUGGCGAACGGGUGAGUAACACGUGAGUAACCUGCCCUUGACUUUGGGAUAACUUCAGGAAACUGGGGCUAAUACCGGAUAGGAGCUCCUGCUGCAUGGUGGGGGUUGGAAAGUUUCGGCGGUUGGGGAUGGACUCGCGGCUUAUCAGCUUGUUGGUGGGGUAGUGGCUUACCAAGGCUUUGACGGGUAGCCGGCCUGAGAGGGUGGCCGGCCACAUUGGGACUGAGGGACGGCCCAGACUCCUACGGGAGGCAGCAGUGGGGAACAUUGCACAAUGGGCGGACGCCUGAUGCAGCAACGCCGCGUGCGUGAUGACGGCUUUCGGGUUGUAAACCGCUUUCGCCUGUGACGAAGCGUGAGUGACGGUAAUGGGUAAAGAAGCACCGGCUAACUACGUG